Molecule: long non-coding RNA, 316 nt
Filed under: Homo sapiens (human)
Lineage: Eukaryota; Metazoa; Chordata; Mammalia; Primates; Hominidae
Description: non-protein coding lnc-EXTL3-8:1
Source: RNAcentral
AUGGUGAAUGUUCUUCAAACCCACUGGACUUUGUGUAAGAAGCAUGGUUGGCACCAACCCCACAGAGUGACAUGGUACAAGAAGGGAAAAGAUGAUCUGUAUGCCAAGGGAAAGUGGCUUAAUGGCAGGAAGGGGUGGCUAUGUAGGCAGACCAAGCCAAUCUUCUGGAAAAAGGCUAAAACUACAAACGAGAUUGUGCUAAAGCUUAAGUGUUGGGCCCAACUGCAGAUCUAGGAGAAUGCUGGCUACUAGAGAUACAAGUAUUUUUAACUGGGAAGGGAUAAAAGGAGAAAAGGCCAAGUGAUCCAGUUCUUAG